This is a long non-coding RNA of Myotis brandtii (Brandt's bat), 90 nucleotides long. RefSeq lists it as uncharacterized. The record is from RefSeq and is a predicted model, not a curated record. NCBI's taxonomy places the organism in Eukaryota, Metazoa, Chordata, Mammalia, Chiroptera, Vespertilionidae. The transcript has 3 exons.
GCCUCUCACUUCGUGGGUCAGUCGAGGUAAGGAAUGAUCAUGUGGAGCGUCCUCAUCUUGGUAUCGAUACUUCUAGCAUCCUAACAUCAA